UACGUAGGGUGCGAGCGUUAAUCGGAAUUACUGGGCGUAAAGCGUGCGCAGGCGGUCCGUUAAGACAGUCGUGAAAGCCCCGGGCUUAACCUGGGAACUGCGAUUGUGACUGGCGGGCUAGAGUGUGUCAGAGGGGGGUGGAAUUCCACGUGUAGCAGUGAAAUGCGUAGAGAUGUGGAGGAACACCGAUGGCGAAGGCAGCCCCCUGGGCCAAUACUGACGCUCGUGCACGAAAGCGUGGGUAGCAAACAGG
RNAcentral lists this ribosomal RNA (253 nucleotides) under uncultured bacterium. RNAcentral's name for it is "partial 16S ribosomal RNA". It matches the Rfam family "Bacterial small subunit ribosomal RNA", at positions 524 to 776 of the family's 1533-position model. The record is from RNAcentral.